RNAcentral lists this transfer RNA (80 nucleotides) under Planctomycetota bacterium. RNAcentral describes it as "Planctomycetes bacterium (hot springs metagenome) tRNA-Leu". It matches the Rfam family "tRNA". Rfam says of the family: Transfer RNA (tRNA) molecules are approximately 80 nucleotides in length. Their secondary structure includes four short double-helical elements and three loops (D, anti-codon, and T loops). Further hydrogen bonds mediate the characteristic L-shaped molecular structure. tRNAs have two regions of fundamental functional importance: the anti-codon, which is responsible for specific mRNA codon recognition, and the 3' end, to which the tRNAs corresponding amino acid is attached (by aminoacyl-tRNA synthetases). tRNAs cope with the degeneracy of the genetic code in two manners: having more than one tRNA (with a specific anti-codon) for a particular amino acid; and 'wobble' base-pairing, i.e. permitting non-standard base-pairing at the 3rd anti-codon position. Lineage: Bacteria; Pseudomonadati; Planctomycetota. The record is from RNAcentral.
CCGGAGUGGCGGAAUGGCAGACGCGCUGGACUCAAAAUCCAGUGGCCUUCGGGCCGUGUGGGUUCAACUCCCACCUCCGG